AGGUCUCAUAGCUAGUCUGAGGUUGAUUUGAACUCAGUUCUUCUUGAGUCUAGUCCCAGCACUCUAUCCACCAGAGCCACCUAGUUGUCUGAAUGCACUAAAUUCACCACUUAGACCUCUGUGGCAAAUUCUGUCAUAAAGUGAAAAAUCCUUUUGAAAUAGGAUUAACCAAUCACCCCCUAUUUUUUUUCUCUUGCAUAAGUUCAUGUUUUCAUGUUAUCAGUUUUUCUCAAAGCAGGGCACAGCUGCGAUAUUUAAAAUGUUUAAUUUAGGUUUCUUUAGAAGUUAACAUUGAGCAGAGAAGGUUGAUCUUGGAAACAAUAACAUUAAGCCUUACUUCACGGCAGUUCGACUUUUUAAAGUACACAUAUCAUUCAGGAAAAAAUGAAGCUAUUUUGGAUCGGCAUUGGAGAGUAAAGUUUUAAAAUUUCUCUGGAGAGGGUGAAUUGAGAGAAGACGGAGGGCAGCAGUGGUGGUGAGAGCAGAUGGAGACUGACUCAGCCUUGUGGUGUCUGGAGUCUUCUUUCCCUGGUGCUCUUAUCCACUCGUUAAGAGAAUGGAACAGGAGUGAAAAGGAUUAUUAUACCUACUCGGAAAAGUCUCUGAUUCACAGUGCGCCGAGUCUGUCCCGGUUUCUUCCUUGUUAUUGCCUACACGUGGUCAAGCACUGGUUACAGCUAAAUGUUUCCUAGUUGUUUGUAUUUCAAUACUAGUGCUAGAUAAAGAUCUUUUAAAAUUGCA
Molecule: non-coding RNA, 741 nt
Organism: Phascolarctos cinereus (koala)
Lineage: Eukaryota; Metazoa; Chordata; Mammalia; Diprotodontia; Phascolarctidae
Source: RefSeq, a predicted model, not a curated record